This 497-nucleotide ribosomal RNA is filed under the name uncultured bacterium. RNAcentral's name for it is "partial 16S ribosomal RNA". It matches the Rfam family "Bacterial small subunit ribosomal RNA", at positions 28 to 507 of the family's 1533-position model. The record is from RNAcentral.
GAUGAACGCUGGCGGCGUGCCUAAUACAUGCAAGUCGAGCGAACAGACGAGGAGCUUGCUCCUUCGACGUUAGCGGCGGACGGGUGAGUAACACGUAGGUAACCUACCUAUAAGACUGGGAUAACUUCGGGAAACCGGAGCUAAUACCGGAUAAUAUUUCGAACCGCAUGGUUCGAUAGUGAAAGAUGGCCUUGCUAUCACUUAUAGAUGGACCUGCGCCGUAUUAGCUAGUUGGUAAGGUAACGGCUUACCAAGGCAACGAUACGUAGCCGACCUGAGAGAGUGGUCGGCCAAGCUGGAACUGAGACACGGUCCGAACUCUUACGGGGGGCAGCAUUAGGAAAUCUACCACAAUGGGCGAAAGCCUGACGGAGCAACGCCGCAUGAGUAAUGAAGGUCUUCGGAUCGUAAAACUCUGUUAUUAGGGAAGAACAAACGUGUAAGUAACUAUGCACGUCUUGACGGUACCUAAUCAGAAAGCCAGGGCUAACUACGUG